AGCGGACCGGGCCCCUCUGACGAUGUUACAUCGUGAUGUCGGACCGCAUCG
This 51-nucleotide non-coding RNA is filed under the name uncultured Cypionkella sp. RNAcentral's name for it is "terC RNA". It matches the Rfam family "terC RNA". Lineage: Bacteria; Pseudomonadati; Pseudomonadota; Alphaproteobacteria; Rhodobacterales; Paracoccaceae. The record is from RNAcentral.